GAUGAAGAACGCAUCGAAAUGCGAUAAGUAGUGUGAAUUGCAGAAUUAAGUGAAUCAUCGAAUCUUUGAACGCACAUUGCGCCCCUUGGUAUCCCGAGGGGCAUGCCUGUUCGAGCGUCAUUUCACCACUCAAGCCUGGCUUGGUGUUGGGCGACGUCCUCUUUGGGGACGCGCCUCGAAACGCUCGGCGGCGUGGCACCGGCUUUAAGCGUAGCAGAAUCUUUCGCUUUGGAAGUCGGGGCCCCGUCUGCCGGAAGACCUGCUCGCAAGGUUGACCUCGGAUCAGGCAGGGAUACCCGCUGAACUUAAGCAUAUCAAUAAGCGGAGGA
This 329-nucleotide unclassified non-coding RNA is filed under the name soil metagenome. RNAcentral describes it as "partial contains 5.8S ribosomal RNA, internal transcribed spacer 2, and large subunit ribosomal RNA". The stretch from base 1 to 120 matches the Rfam family "5.8S ribosomal RNA", at positions 35 to 154 of the family's 154-position model. The record is from RNAcentral.